This 465-nucleotide ribosomal RNA is filed under the name uncultured bacterium. Its description in RNAcentral is "partial 16S ribosomal RNA". It matches the Rfam family "Bacterial small subunit ribosomal RNA", at positions 28 to 507 of the family's 1533-position model. The record is from RNAcentral.
GACGAACGCUGGCGGCGUGCUUAACACAUGCAAGUCGUACGGUAAGGCCCUUUCUUUGGUAUACGAUUGGCGAACGGGUGAGUAACACGUGAGUAACCUGCCCACCCCUUUGUGUUAACGCUAUUAACCUGGUGCUAAUACUGGCUAUGUUCUCCUUCUUCAUGCUUGGGGUUGGUAAGCUCCGGCGGUUGUGUGUGGACUCGCGGGCUGUCAGCUUGUUGGUGGGGUUGUGGGCUACCAAGGCGGCGUCCGGUGGCCGGCCUGAGAGGGUGACCGGCCACAGUGGGGACGGGAUAAGGGCCAGACUCCUACGGGGAGGAGGAGGGGGGAAUAAUGCACAAUGGGCGCAAGCCUGAUGGAGCAAAGGCGCGGGGGGGAUGGAGGCCUUCGGGUUGGAAACCGGUUUCAGCAGGGACGGAGCGUUGUGUGACGGUAACUGGAGAAGAAGCACCGGCUAACUACGUG